Long non-coding RNA from Prunus persica (peach), 205 nucleotides. RefSeq lists it as uncharacterized. The transcript is spliced from 3 exons. Lineage: Eukaryota; Viridiplantae; Streptophyta; Magnoliopsida; Rosales; Rosaceae. The record is from RefSeq and is a predicted model, not a curated record.
UUACAAGCCUAAAAGUUAAACAAUUUCAAGGGAAAAUUGUUCUCAACAGUAGUGUCUCCACAUUAAUUUUUAUCAAUCCAGAUAUACAAGAAUUGGCGGCCUACAAAACGAUCUUUAAUGACUCUACACAUGCCAUUAAAAUGAUGCCUUCUUCCGCCACUCAACUAAUGACACCUCAACAUUUAGAAGCUGCUAAAAAGCUAUC